AGUGAACGCUGGCGGUAGGCCUAACACAUGCAAGUCGAACGGCAGCACAGUAAGAGCUUGCUCUUACGGGUGGCGAGUGGCGGACGGGUGAGGAAUACAUCGGAAUCUACUUUUUCGUGGGGGAUAACGUAGGGAAACUUACGCUAAUACCGCAUACGACCUACGGGUGAAAGCAGGGGAUCUUCGGACCUUGCGCGAUUGAAUGAGCCGAUGUCGGAUUAGCUAGUUGGCGGGGUAAAGGCCCACCAAGGCGACGAUCCGUAGCUGGUCUGAGAGGAUGAUCAGCCACACUGGAACUGAGUCACGGUCCAGACUCCUACGGGAGGCAGCAGUGGGGAAUAUUGGACAAUGGGCGCAAGCCUGAUCCAGCCAUACCGCGUGGGUGAAGAAGGCCUUCGGGUUGUAAAGCCCUUUUGUUGGGAAAGAAAAGCAGCAGGUUAAUACCCCGCUGUUCUGACGGUACCCAAAGAAUAAGCACCGGCUAACUUCGUG
Molecule: ribosomal RNA, 492 nt
Filed under: uncultured bacterium
Lineage: Bacteria
Description: partial 16S ribosomal RNA
Rfam family: Bacterial small subunit ribosomal RNA
Source: RNAcentral